Long non-coding RNA from Meriones unguiculatus (Mongolian gerbil), 1563 nucleotides. RefSeq lists it as uncharacterized. The transcript is spliced from 3 exons. The record is from RefSeq and is a predicted model, not a curated record. NCBI's taxonomy places the organism in Eukaryota, Metazoa, Chordata, Mammalia, Rodentia, Muridae.
GGACUCUGAGAUGGGAGAACUGCAGACGACCGGAACGCACAGAGUGUGUGUCCAUUCUGGGUUCCCUAUCUCCUCUGCAUAACAUGAAAUAAGUCACUGACUCCAGUCCUGGCGCAGUGGAGGAGGAGAUGACAUGGAUAGAAGGGGAUCAACCGGCCUGGAGAUGUAUGGAGUCAGUCUGUGUAGGACGGCUCGUUUCCAGUCGCAAUGUGGUUGCCCAGGACGAGAGGCUGCUGAGGGGUUCACCAGUGCACGCAGCAGGGCCAUCGGAGCUUCAUCUCGGGAGCACGAGCCAGCUGUGCUUUCUACAAGAACUACGCAUGAUCAAAACACAGGACCACCAGCCCGUACGUGGUGGCACCACCCAAGAUGGACCGGGCCCUCCCCAACCAAUCACUAAUUAAGAAAAUACCUUACAGGCUUGCCUAUUAGUCUAAUCUUACGGAGGCAUUUUCUUAAUUGAGGUUCCUUCCUCUCAGAUGACCCUCGCUUGUGUUAAGUUGACGUGAAACCAGCCAGCAAUCCUGGCUCUCUGUGAUGUCUUUUAUUCUUCCUUUAUCACAUGGUCAAUUCUCAGAGAAUCAGUUCCCAGUCCCUUGAGCAGUAUUGCAGUAAACCACCUUUCCAGACCAAAUCACUCACCCAGGCGUGUAUGACCUAUAAGGUGUGCCCCUGAGGGGGUGGUCACUCAUUAAUUUCUCAGCCUCUUGGGGUGGAGAACCUCAGCUAGCCCAGGCAGCGUGCUUCCUCCUAUGCUUCCUCUCCCCUCUCUGCACUUGGCGUGAGAAGGGAAGUGCAUAUGUAAGGAUGUAUCUGCUGCUAGCUUCCUACCAGUUUGGUGCCAAGCAAAUGAGAAAGUCAACAUCCUGGUCACUCUAGCUUUCCUGUUCCAAUGUGAAUACAUUAAAAGACAGCAUUCCAGCUGUGCAAAUCACCAAGCCAUUGAAAUGUUUUUUUUUUUUUUUAACUUUAACCAUUAAAGAUUUAACUAGUCAAUAAAUCCAAGUAUGUGGGGGGUGGUUACCAAAUGUUUAUUACGUUGCUCUUGCUUUUAACUUAGCAGCACAUACCAUGCUUGCACUUCCAUGGGCAAGACCUUUCUUUACAGUUGAAAUUGACGAUGUCCCCACCAAACACAAGGAAGAAGUCUCUGUCUCCAGAAGGAUUCACUCGCCUUUUCUCAAAUCUCCUUGGAAGUUAAGAUGGCUUCUAUCAGUUUAAUAAACCAAUUCACUUGCUGGACAAACGGUCUAUAAUACCUUCUUGUUGCCACAGUUGAGCGUGACUGACGUAACCUAAAAGUCGACUUUCAGCAUGAGCAUCUUGCUGACACUUUUCCACAUUCAGAUUCUGUAAAGGCACAAAUGGAUAUAGCUUUGGUGAAGAAAAAUGUCAAUACCUUUUCUCUUAGUAUCUUUUACGUGAGUUGGGUAAUCAGAUUUUAGGCCUUGACCAGUUUGUUUUUCCUGAGACAGGGUUUCUCUGUGUAACAGUGGCUGUCCUGGACUCACUUUGUAGACCAGGCUGGCCUUGAACUCACAGACCUGCCCCAGCCUCAUGAGU